This 455-nucleotide ribosomal RNA is filed under the name uncultured Sphingobacteriales bacterium. Its description in RNAcentral is "bacterial SSU rRNA". It matches the Rfam family "Bacterial small subunit ribosomal RNA", at positions 923 to 1382 of the family's 1533-position model. Lineage: Bacteria; Pseudomonadati; Bacteroidota; Sphingobacteriia; Sphingobacteriales. The record is from RNAcentral.
GCACAAGCGGAGGAACAUGUGGUUAAUUCGAUGAUACGCGAGGAACCUUACCUGGCUUAAAUGUAGAAUGCAUUUUUAGAGAUAGAAAUUCCUUCGGGGCUUUCUGCAAGGUGCUGCAUGGUUGUCGUCAGCUCGUGCCGUGAGGUGUCGGGUUAAGUCCCAUAACGAGCGCAACCCUUAUCGUUAGUUGCCAGCUGGUAAAGCAGGGGACUCUAGCGAAACUGCCACCGUAAGGUGAGAGGAAGGUGGGGAUGACGUCAAAUCAGCACGGCCCUUAUGUCCAGGGCUACACACGUGUUACAAUGGCCGGCACAGAGGGCAGCUACCUGGUGACAGGAUGCUAAUCUCGAAAACCGGCCUCAGUUCGGAUCGAAGUCUGCAACUCGACUUCGUGAAGCUGGAUUCGCUAGUAAUCGCGCAUCAGCCAUGGCGCGGUGAAUACGUUCCCGGGCCUU